RNAcentral lists this ribosomal RNA (513 nucleotides) under Bifidobacterium pseudocatenulatum. Its description in RNAcentral is "bacterial SSU rRNA". It matches the Rfam family "Bacterial small subunit ribosomal RNA", at positions 166 to 691 of the family's 1533-position model. Lineage: Bacteria; Bacillati; Actinomycetota; Actinomycetes; Bifidobacteriales; Bifidobacteriaceae. The record is from RNAcentral.
AUGCCGGAUGCUCCGACUCCUCGCAUGGGGUGUCGGGAAAGAUUUCAUCGGUAUGGGAUGGGGUCGCGUCCUAUCAGGUAGUCGGCGGGGUAACGGCCCACCGAGCCUACGACGGGUAGCCGGCCUGAGAGGGCGACCGGCCACAUUGGGACUGAGAUACGGCCCAGACUCCUACGGGAGGCAGCAGUGGGGAAUAUUGCACAAUGGGCGCAAGCCUGAUGCAGCGACGCCGCGUGCGGGAUGACGGCCUUCGGGUUGUAAACCGCUUUUGAUCGGGAGCAAGCCUUCGGGUGAGUGUACCUUUCGAAUAAGCACCGGCUAACUACGUGCCAGCAGCCGCGGUAAUACGUAGGGUGCAAGCGUUAUCCGGAAUUAUUGGGCGUAAAGGGCUCGUAGGCGGUUCGUCGCGUCCGGUGUGAAAGUCCAUCGCUUAACGGUGGAUCUGCGCCGGGUACGGGCGGGCUGGAGUGCGGUAGGGGAGACUGGAAUUCCCGGUGUAACGGUGGAAUGUGU